This 378-nucleotide unclassified non-coding RNA is filed under the name uncultured Actinomycetes bacterium. Its description in RNAcentral is "uncultured actinobacterium contains 16S-23S intergenic spacer region". Lineage: Bacteria; Bacillati; Actinomycetota; Actinomycetes. The record is from RNAcentral.
UCCGGUUUGACACCGGCAGUCUCCCUAGAGUUCCCGGCAUGACCCGCUGGCAACUAGGGACAAGGGUUGCGCUCGUUGCGGGACUUAACCCAACAUCUCACGACACGAGCUGACGACAGCCAUGCACCACCUGCACACAGGCCACAAGGGAACCGACAUCUCUGCCGGCGUCCUGUGCAUGUCAAACCCAGGUAAGGUUCUUCGCGUUGCAUCGAAUUAAUCCACAUGCUCCGCCGCUUGUGCGGGCCCCCGUCAAUUUCUUUGAGUUUUAGCCUUGCGGCCGUACUCCCCAGGCGGGGCACUUAAUGCGUUAGCUACGGCACGGAACGCUUUGGUAACGCCCCACACCUAGUGCCCAACGUUUACAGCGUGGACUAC